UACAGAGGGCUCAAGCGUUGUUCGGAUUCAUUGGGCGUAAAGGGCGCGUAGGCGGCGCGGUAAGUCGGAUGUGAAAUCUCGGGGCUUAACUCCGAAACUGCAUUCGAUACUGCCGUGCUUGAGGACUGGAGAGGAGACUGGAAUUUACGGUGUAGCGGUGAAAUGCGUAGAUAUCGUAAGGAAGACCAGUGGCGAAGGCGAGUCUCUGGACAGUUCCUGACGCUGAGGCACGAAGGCCAGGGGAGCAAACGGG
Molecule: ribosomal RNA, 253 nt
Filed under: uncultured bacterium
Lineage: Bacteria
Description: partial 16S ribosomal RNA
Rfam family: Bacterial small subunit ribosomal RNA
Source: RNAcentral